Sapajus apella (tufted capuchin) is the source of this 1988-nucleotide long non-coding RNA. RefSeq lists it as uncharacterized. NCBI's taxonomy places the organism in Eukaryota, Metazoa, Chordata, Mammalia, Primates, Cebidae. The transcript is spliced from 2 exons. The record is from RefSeq and is a predicted model, not a curated record.
AUCCUAGCUACUUAGGAGGCUGAGGCAGGAGGAUUGCUUGAGCCCAGAAGGUCAAGGCUGCAGUGAGCCCUGAGUGCCCUGCUAUACUCCAGCUUGUGCAGCAGAGUGAAACCCUGUCUCAGAAAAGAAAACAGAUGUAGAAAGAAUGAUGGAAAUAGAAAAUCACCAUUAGGCAAACACCAUAAUAAUAAUUGUUUCGGGCAAGAAUCAUGAAUCAGUGCUCACAUGGGCAAAAGCAUGAUGAGGAACAGGUUGUUUGCAUAGUCUCAAAAUAGUUCCCUAUAAGACACUUAUGGUUACAAAAUAAAGACUAGUAACUUCACAGUGAAGAACUCUGACGAUGACAGACACCACCUUAAGCAAGUGAUCAGUGCAAACCAGCAGCAGUAGGAGCAGUAAUGUACUGCAUUGAGAAGGGCACAAGAGCACUUAUGUGACAUUCUUGCCAAAAAUACAUACCAUCCAUCUAAUUAGGAGAAAACAUCAGCCAAAUCCUAAUGGAGAGAUAUUCAACAAAAUAAUGGCCAGUGCUCAAGUCACAGUCAUCGCAGAAUCACAGAGCAAGCAUCACAGACAGAAGACUAGAAGGCAUGGAAACCAGAUGCAAUGUGAGAGCCUGGAGUCAGUCCUAGACCAGCAAAAGGGCAUUCAGGGGAAAACUGGCAAAAGUCUAAUAACAACUAAAGAUCAGUCAGUUGGUCUUAUUUUAUCAGUGUAGAUUUCCUCGUUUUGAUCAUUGGACUAUGGAUAUGGAAGACUGUAACAUUAGUGUCAUAAUCCUUAGGGUGCCGCUUCGUCAGCUGGAAACUUCUGUGGCCUGCGGUGCCUAUACCUGGGCUUUGCACCCAUUGGGCUCCUUCCACCCACUUGGCCUGGCAGGCUGUGUUUGGCUAGUGCCAGCAGCCCAGAGCCCACACCUGCCAAAGGCAAGCAACGGGUGUGUGCACCAGUGAGUGUGGGGUCUAGACACUGCACAAAGCAGUCAUACUGGCUGCUGCUGCAGGGCAGGCAGCUCUAGGUGUCGACACAUGUGCUGGCUCCAUGCAAGGCUGCAGCUGGACCAGAUAUAUCACACACAGCUUGCACUGUGAGCUCCUGCAUCUGGACGAGGGGAACACAGUGGCACCCAGAAGCUUGGAGAUGCCAGGAACCACAGAGCCCAAAAGAGGCUGUCACGGCCCUGGCUUGGGGAGCUCCUGGUCUGGGGCACUCAAAGGGCCUCAGCUCUUCUCUCCUUCUUAUCUCUCACAGCAUGGCAAGGGGUGUGUGUGGAGGAGGUGUGUUUUAGUCCUGUUUGUGUUAAACUCUUUCAGUCCUGCCAUUUGGCAGGUCCUGAGUUCUUGUCCUGAGACCAGGAAGAACAAAGCACAUGGACAACUGGAGGAUGAGCAAAAUGGAGAGGAGCUUCAUUGAGCAACAGAACAGCUCUCAGGAGACCCAAACGGGAGCUGGCUCCUUCGGGCUCACAGCCUUGCUGUGCAUCCUCCACUGCACCUCCUUUGCUACAACUCCCAUGCUGCAGCCUGCAUCUUCACAGCUGUGGCUCCAGAUGGGCUGCCUCUGCCAUUAGGAGAAGCCAAGUGAGGAGUAUUUAAGAACUCUUUGUACUACUUUUGCAAGUUCUCUGUAAGUCUAAAACUAUGUCAAUAAGAUAUGAAAAAAGUAAUGAGAUGGUGCUAUGGUCUAAAUGUUUGUCUCCCUAAAAUUCGUAGGUUGAAAUCCCAACCCACAAUGUGAUAGAACUAGGAGAUAGGGCUUGGGGAGAGAUGAUUAUUCAUGAGGUUGGAACUGUCGUGAAUGAGAUCAGUGCCUUUAUUAAAAAGGGCCUGGAGAGCUGCCUUGCCCCUUCCCCCAUGUGAGGAUGCAGCAAGAAGACGCCAUCUGUGAAUGCAGAAAGGGUCCUCCCCAGAUACCGAAUCUGAUAGUGCCUUGAUCUUGAACUUCCCAGGCUUCAGAACUGUGAGAAAUAAACUUCUGUUGUUCAUAAA